ACUACUUAAAAUAUUGUCGGUUGCAAAAAAAUCAUGGGUUGAAAACCGUUGUCUUCUUCUUCCUAGCAUGACAUCUCCUCUUCUCCCUCAUUUUUUUCUUCUCCCUUCAGUUGUGGUCACCGCUCCAUCACGACAAGGACGACCGCUGCUGCUGGACACUGAAAGACACCAGAAAUCGAUGCCGAAGGCCCCUUUCGCACAUGUGAAUAAUGGAGAUGUCAGUGGAAUUAUGCUUAAUGGUGAUGCUUUAAUAGCAUUUGAUUUUGUUUAGGUGAGUUUUUUUCUAUUAAAUGCAAAACAUAUUCUACGAAACUCGAAGUAAUUGAAAAUCAUAAUUGGAGGUAGAAGUAAGCUGUGGUUUAAGUUUGCUUUUUUGAUGUAGGAAACUCUAAAUGUUGAUUGACCAGAUUGGAUAAAAUAAUAGUAACUCAAAUUUAUCAGUUACCUAAAGAAUGCCUUACAUGAAACAAUUACGGUGCAAAAAGAAUAACUACACUAGAUUGUGAUUCUACAAUGAAUGCCUACACAAGGAUAUUAGCCAAGAAAUUGUCAACAUCUUUUCUCAUCAAUUGUGUUUGCUCAGCGAUGACAAAUCUACUCUACAACAUUGGAAAAUUAUCUAUUGCAUAAAUGAGUGAAUUUUGUACAAGUACUUAUCUGAAUUUUGCAAUAUGUAUUGAUAAUUUGAUAUGAGGAUAAAGUGGCCAAUUUCAAUUUA
Jatropha curcas is the source of this 718-nucleotide non-coding RNA. The record is from RefSeq and is a predicted model, not a curated record. NCBI's taxonomy places the organism in Eukaryota, Viridiplantae, Streptophyta, Magnoliopsida, Malpighiales, Euphorbiaceae.